This 277-nucleotide long non-coding RNA is filed under the name Mus musculus (house mouse). RNAcentral's name for it is "predicted gene 45666". The record is from RNAcentral. Lineage: Eukaryota; Metazoa; Chordata; Mammalia; Rodentia; Muridae.
UCACUCACCCAGUAACCCACCCAACAAUGGAAGAGGCCACAGAUACACAUUCAUUCACAAGGGCAGCCUGUCGGAAGUGAGAUCAGAAGAGACACAUUCUGGCUCCUAGCAUUCCACAGAGCACAUGAUCAGGAGUGGUUUCUGCAGGAACUGGGUCUGCCACUUCCUGACGGGCCAGGCAACCGGCUGCCUUUCACCUCCGCGGCUCGGCAAUUACGUGGUGUAACGGAGGCAACGCAAAUAAGCAGAAAGAUUUUAUUAAACCAAAUGAGCAAAU